AGAAACAGGCAGCCUGACUAGAGAACAAACUACCAAUUAACGAGCGAGGAAACAGGGCCAGAGAAUUGGAACAAAAUACAAGGCUGCCUCUGAAAGGAAUAUCUUUGUGCUGAUGUGUCCAUCAAGAGAACAUACACAGAAGUGACACUUGCCAGAAAAUAUUUACUGGAUAGCUACUAGACAUAAGGAUGCAGAAAUGAAUUAGAAAAAUUCCUCGCCCUUGUUCAAAGCUAUGCUGGCUCUUAGAACAUCUGAGCCCCCACUGUUUCAUCUUUAGAGGAUCCCAGCUGCUGGGGUGUGAGGCCAGUGCUGGAGCCAGCAGUCUCUGACCCAGAAGGGACCUGAGGUGCUAAAGAAAAGGGUACAAGCUGGAAAAGGGGAAAAUGAAUCAUGCUACAGGCCAAGUGUCCAUCACUGAUUCCCAGAGAUGCCCUUUGUGUGGUAGGCACUUCCAUGUGGACUCGCUACAGAGGUCAUAAGACCCUAAUUCCAGAGGGCCCUACCCUAUAACCAGAAGGAAGAACUAUUGCACAGAGAAUCUAAGAAGAAUCUAGACAGACAGCCCUUGCUGGAUUUCUCCACUCUGUUAGCAUUCGAUCAUUUGCCUUUUGUCCAGUCAUAUUUCUGCAUGGCUGUCCAUACUUUGUUGAACCUAAGCACAAAAUGGAAAGUUUUCCCUGUAUCUUUGGGUCGUCAUUCUGAAGGCUCCCAUGUUAUGUAAAACUAUGAUCAAAUAAAUAUGCAUGCCUUUUCUCCUAUAA
This 761-nucleotide long non-coding RNA is filed under the name Homo sapiens (human). Its description in RNAcentral is "long independently transcribed non-coding RNA 1643, transcript variant 22 (LINC01643)". Lineage: Eukaryota; Metazoa; Chordata; Mammalia; Primates; Hominidae. The record is from RNAcentral.